This 243-nucleotide long non-coding RNA is filed under the name Elaeis guineensis (African oil palm). RNAcentral's name for it is "long non-coding RNA (EGUI_LNC049879)". The record is from RNAcentral. Lineage: Eukaryota; Viridiplantae; Streptophyta; Magnoliopsida; Arecales; Arecaceae.
ACUUUUAGAUCACUUCGGUUGAGUUUAAAACUCAUUACCUUUUGAUGGAUCAAUGAUCUCCACUACUGGUAGGUAUGGUAUGAAGCUCUCACUGAUGUCGAGAAGCCACACAGGUCAUCAAGGUCUCUACAGAUCGUCCACUCGAAGCCCUGAUCAGAUUUUUCUUCGCAGGAGUGCUAGCUCGCAUUGAAGGCUCUAGAUGGCUGAUCCAAGCUCCUUUCUUUGGAUCUCCUGAACUCCUCU